Nicotiana tabacum (common tobacco) is the source of this 745-nucleotide long non-coding RNA. RefSeq lists it as uncharacterized. Lineage: Eukaryota; Viridiplantae; Streptophyta; Magnoliopsida; Solanales; Solanaceae. The record is from RefSeq and is a predicted model, not a curated record.
CAAAUCUAAAUUUAAUAUUUCAGCCAAAACCCUAUUUCCCCAAAUUCGGCGCCGUCUUUUUCCCCGAUUUCCCUCCGCCCCCCUCUCUCUCUCCGUAUCUUUUUUCUUCUUGAUUUUCUAUUCCAAUUUCAUCUGUGCGGCUGACAGAGGCAAACGGCUGAAGGAGGCAAAGGCUGACAGAGGCAAACGGCUGAAAUCUUACGGAAGCCUAUCAAAAACGUUUCAAGGAAUGGCGUCAAAGUUAACCUGAUACCGAGGAUGGUAGCUCAACCCAAGUGUCACUCAAUGAUGUAGCUUCAAUAUGGACGCAGGUGGUUGGUGGCGCAAAGAAAGGUAGAACUUACGGUCUUGGAUAACAACAUUCCGUAGGUCGUUCUACGACAUUGUUGUCUGGUGAUGCUAGUUAUUCGCAGAAUCACGAAGAGGUGGAAGCAUUACGAAAAGAAGUUGAAGAGUUGAAGGAGGAACGGAAAGAAGAUCGCGCAAAUUUUAACAAAUUGCAGAGUCUAGUGGAGAAAUUUAUGAGCAAAUGUCCAUUGGAUCCUUUGAAUGAAGAGGAUGACAGAGAUGAUGAGUUUUAGUUUGUUGUGGUUGUGAUGUUUGAGACAUUAUUUUUUGUUGUGGUUGGAUGUUUAGACUUAGUAAUGUUUAAACUUGACUAUGAUUGUAAUGUUUUAGACUAGAUUGAAUGGUGCUUCAAUGUUUAACUUGUGUUUGGAUGUUUUAGUUACAAAUAUUUAUGUUU